RNAcentral lists this ribosomal RNA (429 nucleotides) under bacterium. RNAcentral describes it as "partial 16S ribosomal RNA". It matches the Rfam family "Bacterial small subunit ribosomal RNA", at positions 355 to 776 of the family's 1533-position model. The record is from RNAcentral.
UAGGGAAUCUUCGGCAAUGGGGGCAACCCUGACCGAGCAACGCCGCGUGAGUGAAGAAGGUUUUCGGAUCGUAAAGCUCUGUUGUAAGAGAAGAACGUGUGUGAGAGUGGAAAGUUCACACAGUGACGGUAACUUACCAGAAAGGGACGGCUAACUACGUGCCAGCAGCCGCGGUAAUACGUAGGUCCCGAGCGUUGUCCGGAUUUAUUGGGCGUAAAGCGAGCGCAGGCGGUUUAAUAAGUCUGAAGUUAAAGGCAGUGGCUUAACCAUUGUUCGCUUUGGAAACUGUUAAACUUGAGUGCAGAAGGGGAGAGUGGAAUUCCAUGUGUAGCGGUGAAAUGCGUAGAUAUAUGGAGGAACACCGGUGGCGAAAGCGGCUCUCUGGUCUGUAACUGACGCUGAGGCUCGAAUGCGUGGGGAGCAAACAGG